CAGUCGUACUUAUGGGUAAUCAGCCUUUUGGGUGUGAUUUUGUGGAGCGUGAGGAGUUAAACGCCCUCAUGCCUGCAUAUUCGUGCACAUUUGGUGUACUUGUCCGUGUGGUGGGUUAACAUCAAUUUCGG
This 131-nucleotide ribosomal RNA is filed under the name Rhizophagus irregularis. The record is from RNAcentral. Lineage: Eukaryota; Fungi; Glomeromycota; Glomeromycetes; Glomerales; Glomeraceae.